Mytilus californianus (California mussel) is the source of this 382-nucleotide long non-coding RNA. RefSeq lists it as uncharacterized. The transcript is spliced from 2 exons. NCBI's taxonomy places the organism in Eukaryota, Metazoa, Mollusca, Bivalvia, Mytilida, Mytilidae. The record is from RefSeq and is a predicted model, not a curated record.
CUGUGCAACUAUGUCAGUUACAUUUUUAAUUAACGAUGCCAAGUACUUGUUGUUGUGUACCUGGAUGUCAUUUAAGAGGAGGACAUGCAUUUCCAAAUGACUUAAAAAGAAGGAAAAGUUGGAUCAACGCCAUGGCCAAUACGCAGAUUGGACGAGAACACGAUGAAAUCGUGGAGUCCAUCUCAAAUUAUCAGCUGUUGUUUGCAAGGCACAUUUUACCGAAAAAGACUACGUGCAGGAAACUAUUCAUGGGCGCAAACCCACCAUACAGAGACUUAAGUCUACUGCCAUUCCCAGCCUAUUUUCCUGGACCAAGCAAGAGACUGAAUCGUCCGCAAAAAGAAAAAUCAGGGCAGUUUCCUGUGAAAACAAAAGAACUAAA